UGCUAUACAUGCAAGUCGAGCGGACCGACGGGAGCUUGCUCCCUUAGGUCAGCGGCGGACGGGUGAGUAACACGUGGGUAACCUGCCUGUAAGACUGGGAUAACUCCGGGAAACCGGGGCUAAUACCGGAUGCUUGAUUGAACCGCAUGGUUCAAUCAUAAAAGGUGGCUUUUAGCUACCACUUGCAGAUGGACCCGCGGCGCAUUAGCUAGUUGGUGAGGUAACGGCUCACCAAGGCGACGAUGCGUAGCCGACCUGAGAGGGUGAUCGGCCACACUGGGACUGAGACACGGCCCAGACUCCUACGGGAGGCAGCAGUAGGGAAUCUUCCGCAAUGGACGAAAGUCUGACGGAGCAACGCCGCGUGAGUGAUGAAGGUUUUCGGAUCGUAAAACUCUGUUGUUAGGGAAGAACAAGUACCGUUCGAAUAGGGCGGCACCUUGACGGUACCUAACCAGAAAGCCACGGCUAACUACGUGCCAGCAGCCGCGGUAAUACGUAGGUGGCAAGCGUUGUCCGGAAUUAUUGGGCGUAAAGCGCGCGCAGGCGGUUUCUUAAGUCCUGAUGUGAAAGCCCCCGGCUCAACCGGGGAGGGUCAUUGGAAACUGGGGAACUUGAGUGCAGAAGAAGAGAGUGGAAUUCCACGUGUAGCGGUGAAAUGCGUAGAGAUGUGGAGGAACACCAGUGGCGAAGGCGACUCUCUGGUCUGUAACUGACGCUGAG
Molecule: ribosomal RNA, 723 nt
Filed under: Bacillus subtilis
Lineage: Bacteria; Bacillati; Bacillota; Bacilli; Caryophanales; Bacillaceae
Description: bacterial SSU rRNA
Rfam family: Bacterial small subunit ribosomal RNA
Source: RNAcentral